CGCUCCGGACACCAGCGUCACGGCUGGAUGUGCGACCGCAUGGCGCACACACCACCUGUUGGUUCUGGACACUUCUGAUUUCCUGCUUCCUUUGCACUUUCUUCUCGUCCUCUUUUGAUUUUGAUGGGGAUGUUGUGGGAGUUUAGGUUCUGAAAUACUGAUGAUCGUGGAAUCAUUGAAUCACAGAUUCAUCAAGGUUGGAAGAGAACUUUGAGAUCAACAAGAGCAACCAUCAAUCCAGCACUCUCACCCCUAGACCACAGGGAAAAUUUUUUUCUGGCACGUAAUCUGAAUGUCACCUGCCUCAGCUUGAGGCCAUUGUCCUCUACCUUCUCACUGCAGGCACAGUAGAAGAGACUGAUCCCCACCUCACCACAGCCUCCUGUCAGUGCCAGAGGAAAUAAUGAAUCACCAAUCAAGAAGACAACUUAAGACUUAUCAGCUUCCUCCUGGGGAAAGCAUGACCUUGACUGCAGCAUGUCACUUCCAAGCACCAGACAUCUGAGCCACUUGAAGCCAACCUUAUUUCCAGUUACAGGGGAACUCCACAAGCUGUUUCACCUAAUAUUCACAGGAUAGUCACUAAGCAGAUUCAUUAAUGCAAUGGCUGUGCUAGAGGAUGCAGUGUCCACCAAA
This is a long non-coding RNA of Passer domesticus (house sparrow), 636 nucleotides long. RefSeq lists it as uncharacterized. The transcript has 3 exons. The record is from RefSeq and is a predicted model, not a curated record. NCBI's taxonomy places the organism in Eukaryota, Metazoa, Chordata, Aves, Passeriformes, Passeridae.